GAUGAACGCUGGCGGCGUGCCUAAUACAUGCAAGUCGAGCGAACAGACGAGGAGCUUGCUCCUCUGACGUUAGCGGCGGACGGGUGAGUAACACGUGGAUAACCUCCCUAUAAGACUGGGAUAACUUCGGGAAACCGGAGCUAAUACCGGAUAAUAUAUUGAACCGCAUGGUUCAAUAGUGAAAGACGGUUUUGCUGUCACUUAUAGAUGGAUCCGCGCCGCAUUAGCUAGUUGGUAAGGUAACGGCUUACCCAGGCAACGAUGCGUAGCCGACCUGAGAGGGUGAUCGGCCACACUGGAACUGAGACACGGUCCAGACUCCUACGGGAGGCAGCAGUAGGGAAUCUUCCGCAAUGGGCGAGAGCCUGACGGAGCAACGCGGCGUGAGUGAUGAAGGUCUUCGGAUCGUAAAACUCUGUUAUUAGGGAAGAACAAAUGUGUAAGUAACUAUGCACGUCUUGACGGUACCUAAUCAGAAAGCCACGGCUAACUACGUG
Molecule: ribosomal RNA, 497 nt
Filed under: uncultured bacterium
Lineage: Bacteria
Description: partial 16S ribosomal RNA
Rfam family: Bacterial small subunit ribosomal RNA
Source: RNAcentral